Dipodomys ordii (Ord's kangaroo rat) is the source of this 70-nucleotide non-coding RNA. Lineage: Eukaryota; Metazoa; Chordata; Mammalia; Rodentia; Heteromyidae. The record is from Rfam.
GGGAAAGUGGCUCAGUGGUAGAGUGCUUGCCUUGCAUGCAUGAGACCCCGAGUUCAAUUCCUCAGCACCA